RNAcentral lists this ribosomal RNA (468 nucleotides) under uncultured bacterium. Its description in RNAcentral is "partial 16S ribosomal RNA". It matches the Rfam family "Bacterial small subunit ribosomal RNA", at positions 28 to 507 of the family's 1533-position model. The record is from RNAcentral.
GACGAACGCUGGCGGCGUGCUUAACACAUGCAAGUCGAACGGAAAGGCCCUGCUUUUGUGUGGUGCUCGAGUGGCGAACGGGUGAGUAACACGUGAGUAACCUGCCCUUGACUUUGGGAUAACUUCAGGAAACUGGGGCUAAUACCGGAUAGGAGCUCCUGCUGCAUGGGGGGGGUUGGAAAGUUUCGGCGGUUGGGGAUGGACUCGCGGCUUAUCAGCUUGUUGGUGGGGUAGUGGCUUACCAAGGCUUUGACGGGUAGCCGGCCUGAGAGGGGGACCGGCCACAUUGGGACUGAGAUACGGCCCAGACUCCUACGGGAGGCAGCAGUGGGGAAUAUUGCACAAUGGGCGGAAGCCUGAUGCAGCAACGCCGCGUGCGGGAUGAUGGCCUUCGGGUUGUAAACCGCUUUCGCCUGUGACGAAGCGUGAGUGACGGUAAUGGGUAAAGAAGCACCGGCUAACUACGUG